RNAcentral lists this ribosomal RNA (500 nucleotides) under uncultured Chloroflexota bacterium. RNAcentral's name for it is "bacterial SSU rRNA". It matches the Rfam family "Bacterial small subunit ribosomal RNA", at positions 355 to 870 of the family's 1533-position model. The record is from RNAcentral. Lineage: Bacteria; Bacillati; Chloroflexota.
UAGGGAAUAUUGCUCAAUGGGCGAAAGCCUGAAGCAGCAACGCCGCGUGUGUGAUGAAGGCCUUCGGGUCGUAAAGCACUUUUCUGGGAGAUGAGAAAGGACAGUAUCCCAGGAAUAAGUCUCGGCUAACUACGUGCCAGCAGCCGCGGUAAAACGUAGGAGGCGAGCGUUAUCCGGAUUCACUGGGCGUAAAGCGCGUGCAGGUGGCGCGGUAAGUUGGGCGUGAAAUCUCCCGGCUCAACUGGGAGAGGUCGUCCAAUACUACCGUGCUUGAGAGCAGAAGAGGAAGAUGGAAUUCCCGGUGUAGUGGUGAAAUGCGUAGAUAUCGGGAGGAACACCAGUGGCGAAGGCGAUCUUCUGGUCUGUUUCUGACACUCAGACGCGACAGCUAGGGUAGUAAACGGGAUUAGAGACCCCGGUAAUCCUAGCCGUAAACGAUGUGAACUUGGCGUUGGUGGGUUAAACUCCAUCAGUGCCGUAGCAAACGCGAUAAGUUCACC